RNAcentral lists this ribosomal RNA (413 nucleotides) under uncultured microorganism. RNAcentral's name for it is "bacterial SSU rRNA". It matches the Rfam family "Archaeal small subunit ribosomal RNA", at positions 330 to 745 of the family's 1478-position model. The record is from RNAcentral.
GCGCACCAGGCGAGAAAACUUCACACUGUGCGAAAGCACGAUGAGGGAAUCCCAAGUGCUUGCACGUAAGUGUAAGCUGUUUCUCUGUCUAAAACGCAGAGAGAGUAAGGGCUGGGUAAGACGGGUGCCAGCCGCCGCGGUAAUACCUGCAGCUCAAGUGGUGACCGUUAUUAUUGGGCCUAAAACGUCCGUAGCCGGUUUAAUAAAUGCCUGGGUAAAUUGUGUAGCUUAACUAUACGAAUUCCGGGUAGACUGUUAAACUUGAGACCGGGAGAAGUUAGAGGUACUCCUGGGGUAGAGGUGAAAUUCUGUAAUCCUAGGGGACCACCAGUGGCGAAGGCGUCUAACUAGAACGGGUCUGACGGUGAGGGACGAAGCCCUGGGGCGCAAACGGGAUUAGAUACCCGUGUAGU